UACGUAGGUGGCAAGCGUUGCCCGGAUUUACUGGGCGUAAAGGGCGUGCAGGCGGUCUGUUAAGUGCAGGGUGAAAGCUCCCGGCUCAACUGGGAGAGGUCCUUGCAUACUGGCGGACUUGAGGGGGGUAGAGGAAAGUGGAAUUCCCGGUGUAGUGGUGAUAUGCGUAGAUAUCGGGAGGAACACCUGUGGCGAAGGCGGCUUUCUGGGCCCUACCUGACGCUGAGGCGCGAAAGCGUGGGGAGCAAACAGG
This 253-nucleotide ribosomal RNA is filed under the name uncultured bacterium. RNAcentral describes it as "partial 16S ribosomal RNA". It matches the Rfam family "Bacterial small subunit ribosomal RNA", at positions 524 to 776 of the family's 1533-position model. The record is from RNAcentral.